GACGAACGCUGGCGGCGUGCUUAACACAUGCAAGUCGAACGGACGAGUGAGAUAAGUUUACUUAACUCACAAGUUAGUGGCGGACGGGUGAGUAACACGUGGAUAAUCUACCUGCAACACCGGGAUAACGCUGUGAAAACGGUGCUAAUACCGGAUACGUUCCCUUGUGCGCAUGUAUGAGGGAAGAAAGCUCAGGCGGUUGCAGAUGAGUCCGCGGCUGAUUGGCUAGUUGGUGAGGUAAAGGCUCACCAAGGCGAUGAUCAGUAGCCGGCCUGAGAGGGUGAACGGCCACACUGGGACUGAGACACGGCCCAGACUCCUACGGGAGGCAGCAGUGGGGAAUCUUCCGCAAUGGGCGCAAGCCUGACGGAGCAACGCCGCGUGGGUGAAGAAGGCCUCGGUUGUAAGCCUGUCUUAUGGAAGAAGUACAGUGACGGUACCAUAGGAGGAAGCCACGGCUAACUACGUGCCAGCAGCCGCGGUAAUGAGU
This 490-nucleotide ribosomal RNA is filed under the name uncultured bacterium. Its description in RNAcentral is "bacterial SSU rRNA". It matches the Rfam family "Bacterial small subunit ribosomal RNA", at positions 28 to 528 of the family's 1533-position model. The record is from RNAcentral.